This is a long non-coding RNA of Pongo pygmaeus (Bornean orangutan), 4361 nucleotides long. RefSeq lists it as uncharacterized. NCBI's taxonomy places the organism in Eukaryota, Metazoa, Chordata, Mammalia, Primates, Hominidae. The transcript is spliced from 10 exons. The record is from RefSeq and is a predicted model, not a curated record.
GGCAGGCGCAGCCUGGGCUGAGUUUGCAGGGCUGCUCCCCUCACCCAACCCCUUGGAGUCCUCUGCGCGCUACGCCCCACCCGACCCGUGGGGGAGGUUCCGUCCCGCCGCCUUCGCCCGCGCGCUGCACUCGCGGACGGUCUCUGCUCGCCUUGGGCGCGCCCUGGGGCGCCGGGCUGCGCUGGCGCUGCUGCUCCUCGGCCUGCUCCGUCCUCUGGUGGCCGCCCCGGGGCUGACUUUGACUUAGCGAUGCCUUUCGUGAUGGAGGAAACAGUGACCCAGCACCACCUAAUCCUCCCAAACCAAAGCCAGAUCCAAACCCCAACCGACCUGGUUUCACUGGGGCUGACUUUGACUUAGCAGAUGCCUUUGGUGAUGGAGGAAACAGUGACCCAGCACCACCUAAUCCCCCCAAACCAAAGCCAGAUCCAAAUCCCAACUGACCUGGUUUCACUGAUAAGAGCCUCUAACCCUACGGAGUGGUCUCUGUGUUGUUUACCUGGCAGUGAUGUCCGUGUCAUCUGAGAAGAGGAGAUUUCAGGUGACCCAGCACCUCCUAAUUCACCCAAGCCGAAGCCAAAUGCGAACCCUGAGCAGCCUGGAUUCAUUGGGGAUGACUUUGACUUAGCAGAUGCCUUACAUGACAGAAGAAAUUAUGAGCCAGCACCACUGAACCCACCCAAACCAAAGCCAAAUCCAAACCCCAAGCAGCCUGAUUCCACCGGGGCUGACUUUGAUUUCACAGAUGUUUCUUCGUGGUGAAUGAAACAAUGCUAAGCAACAUGAGAGUGAGUGUCUGGCCAUGGUUUGCUCAUCUGUGCAUCUCCAGGACUGGCUGGGUUCCUGGGUGUGAAGAAGCAGAGGUCCACACACAUGGGUGAAUCUGUGCUGCUUCUCACCACCACACUGCUUGGCUUCCUUAUUUCCUUCCUGUCACCUGGAAUGCCUACCCUGUACUUCUCUCCAGCGCCAACACCAUCAUUUACCACCUCGUUCAGCUCCCAGGCAUCCUAGAAGCCUUUCCUGACCACAGGGAUGCAUCGUGGUGCACAAUUCCUGCAGCUGCCACUAUGGUGCAAGAUGAGUCUAGAAGAACAGUUUUGCUGUGCAGUCACCCUUACUCGCUAUUGUGAUUUUGCCUUUAACAUAUUGAAAAAGACACAGAAAACACACACCAUCCGAUCAUUUAGUUGCAGGCACAUCGUGCGAUGCUAAGAAUUUGCUGUGUUUUAAAUUGGUGUCUGUUGACUCUUCAGCUUCUGCUCCAGGCUUCUUAUGUCCCCACUCAGCCCUGAAUCCCAUUCCCCCUAAUCUCGGUAACUUUGGUGGCUUUUGCACCAGCCAAAAUCAGAUCCUAGGUCUUGAGCAAAACCAAGAGCAAGGAAAAAAAUCCCCCAUGGGAAUCUGAGACCUCACUCUAAUGACUUCAGUUGCUGUUGACUUGAUUUCCUUCAACUGCUGAAGGAGGUUAGAUCAGUUUCCUCUUGCUUCUAGGAUAAAGCAUCGCAGACUUUGCAGCUUAAAACAGUGCACAUUUCUUUGCUUACAGUUCUGGAGGUAAGAAGUCUGAAAUUAGUUUCCUGGGGCUCCCAUCAAGGUGUCAGCAGGGCUGGCUUCCUUCUGGAGGCUCUAGGAGAGAAAGGGUUUGCUUGAUAUUUCCAGCUUCUAGAGGCUGCGUACAUGCCUUGUUAUGUGGCUGCUCCCUCCAUCUUCAAAGCCAGCAGUGUAGCAUCUUCCAAUCUCUCUCUAACACGGACCCUCUUGCUUCCCUCUUUCAAUGAUAAGGACCCAUGUGAUGACAUUGGUCCUACUUGGGUAAUCCAGUAAUGUCUUCUCAUCUCAAGCUCAGCUGAUCAGCAACCUUCAUUCCAUCUGCAACCUUCAUUUCCCUUGCACAGGUUCUGGGAAUCAGGACAUGGAUAUCUUUGGGGCCUGCUAUUGCUUCUACCUACAACUGGUGUUACAAGACUUGGCCCACUUAAUCUUGCAAAUCCUUUCUGCCCCUCUUAAUGAGAUCUGUUCUCUAUGAAUGUUCAGGACCUCAGGAGUAGGGACCCCAAAGGCUGGGAGCAAAGUAGAUGUGACAGGUACCAAGCAUAGGAUGUGUGACCAGAUUCGGUCAUGUGAUUACAUUGUGAGGUGACCCAGGCAUUUUCAUUAGGAAGGAAAAUGGUUGUAGGAGGAGGAAAUUGAACACAACCCACACAUGGGUGGUUGGAAAAUCUGAGAGCUCUCGUGGGCAUGCUCACCCAUUUCACUCACCAUGGUACAGGGGAAAUUCUUAGACCUGUCAGUGCAACUAUUUGAAAUAAACAUCCAAGAAAGUCGGCAAACUUCAGGUAGGAUGAAGUCAGAGAUCCACCCUGAAGCACAGUGAAAGCCACAAGACAGAAGUGACUGAUCCCAUCCCAGGGAUCCUAAAGAAGAUUAUCAUCAGACUUCCCAUUGGAAACUUUGGAAGCCGGACACCAGUAGUAGUCUGAUAAAUUCAAAAUGCUAAAAAACAAAACCAAUGAAAACAUGCUAACCAAGAAAAAAAAAUGCUACAUGGCUGAAGAAAUCAUGCAGAAAUUUUAGCAACAUUUUAAAUGAUCCAACAAGGUCUGUUGUUUCUGCGCAGAUAUGGGCAAACAUGAGCUUGUAUAGCUUAUUUUUAUGGGUGCAAGGAGCAUGCAGUUAUCUCCACUAGCAUGUUUUUUGUUUGUUUGCUUUGAGAUGGAUUCUCACUCUGUCGCCCAGGCUGGAGUGCAGUGGCACAAUCUUGGCUCACUGCAACCUCCGUCUCCCAGGUUCAAGCAGUUCCCUGCCUCAGCCUCCCGAGUAGCUGGGAUUACAGGUGCCCACCACCACGCCUGGCUAAUUUUUGUAUUUUUAGUAGAGAUGGGGUUUCAGCAUCUUGGCCAAGGCUGGUCUUGAACUCCUGACCUCGUGAUCCACCCACGUCAGCCUCCCAAAGUGCUGGGAUUACAGGUGUGAGCCACCGCGCCCAGCCUGUUUUUCUUUUUAACUCAUGCAUAGGUUCAGAAUUUAGUUCCAGGUACGUGAGAGCUCCUUGUAGAUGUUUUUCAUGGCGAGUCAGCUGGCUUACCAGACCUUGUCUGACUUCUUCCUUUAUCUUCCCAACAGUUCAGCACCUUGGUGCGGUACAGGGUCCCAUUAGCAGGUCUCAUUUCCCACCACUGACUGAACAUCAGCAGGCUCAAUCCACAAGUCAGGGGCUGGGGAUGUCUUGUCAAGAAUUCCCUCUUUAGGGGCAGGAAUGAAAUUUAUAACAACAUCCAUGCUGCUUGAUGGAGCCCUCUCUACAUGGCAGGUGCUUUGCAAGCACUUUCAGAAAAUCUGCACCAAACUGUAUAGUAAGAAUGAUCACUGUCAUUCUACAAGUCAGAAACUUGAAAAUCAGAUUGGUGACGUAUUCAGCUAAUGCACUGCAAAUAAACAGCAGAAGUGAAAUUCAGAUAUCAAGACAUUUGUCCUCAAAGUCUAUGCUUGCAACUAGAUUAUGGCCCUGAUAUCCUAGGGAUGAAUCAGUUUCAGUUUCCCUUCCUGGACCCCCAGCAAGUAGUACAUGGGAAUUAUUCUAGUGCGGUAUAGCGGGGAGCAGUGUAAACAGAUAAACAAGGUUUUCCGGGGCCCUGGUUUAGGCAAAUAAAUCUUACAACAUUAUCUGGCUCUUUCAAGUAGACUUCAGACUUGGCCUUGUUUUCUAGACUGUUUUGCCCAAUGGAAAAUAGUGUUUGUAUCUUUAGAAGAUGUAUUAUGUGAUUUUCCCCUCUCAAUAUUUUGCAGGGCAGAGAUACUGCUUUGAUCUAUUUUCACAUAAUAAUUAUUAUUUGAGGUCUCAAUUAAGACCAGCAUCUUCAUCUGUGUGGGGCUCUGAGUUAAGGGCUUUCCAUAGACUCACUCUUGCCAUUUCUUCUAACUCCCUUGAGCAGAGGCCAGCAGUAGAGAAACUUGAUAAAUAACACAAGUGCUACAAUCCCUGAGUCCUCUAAGAAAUGAGACACAAAGGAAAGAUCCAGGGACAUUUUCACAGAUGUGCCCAAUUCCAGUGGCCCCAGGUUUCCCACCCUGCUGUUGAUAUUCUGCCACCCAUAGUCAUGAUCAUCUGGCUACAAAACAGCAGGCAGGGCUGUGCAUGAGUGAUGUUACAGGUGGGCUCAUGGCUACAUGGAUGUCUAGACAUGUCUAGGUGUCCAUAUGCAGGAACUGAGGGAAAGUGAGAAGGAGGGAGGGAUGGGUGGACAGAUGGAUAGAUAAAUGGAUGGAAAGGUGGACAAAUGGAUAGAUGCAUGAAUGGAUGGUGAAUUGGUAGGUAAAAUGGAGGGAUGGAUGGAUGGAUGUUUGGAUGGAUAUUUGGA